Molecule: long non-coding RNA, 3159 nt
Filed under: Olea europaea (common olive)
Lineage: Eukaryota; Viridiplantae; Streptophyta; Magnoliopsida; Lamiales; Oleaceae
Description: long non-coding RNA (OEUR_LNC001551)
Source: RNAcentral
AUAAUACAAAUUUUUAAUGGUAAAAAUAAUUAUUAUUAAAUCAUUCUCUCUCUAGAUAAUAAUUUAUCUUUUCUCUCUCUCAUCAAUUCACCUACUUGCUUCCAACACUCUUUAUAAUUUCUCUCUAAUAUCGCUUGAUCACCAAAUUCGUUUGAUCCUGUCCAUUGCCAAAUCCUUAUCGGUGCCCAAGCAGUAGUCGCACACCUAUUCGCCUCUAUCCUGACAACCUUCAUCAUUGAUCUUGGUGAUGAGGGAGACAAUGAUGGUGGUAUAUUUGAUGGAAAUGGCAUUGGGACCAAAGGGUACAUUGACAUUGAUUUCAUUUCUAUCUUUCAAUUUCACGUCCAAUCUAAACGAAAUAUAAAAUAAAAUAGGCUAUAAAAUAAUUGAUUAAAAACUAUUAAAUGUCUAUAUUUUUCAAUUCAAAUAUACACUUAUCAAAUUCCCAACAAAAAGAAAUAUAGUUAUAACUAUCGACUUACUAACAAUAUAUUAAUAUCAUAUAUAUUUUCUUGUGGGAUCCACUAUCAUCUCUCUUAAUAUUUCUAUUUAUAAAUCAUUUAUAGAUUUUUCAAACUGAUAGUAAGAUCGUGUUUCCAACAUAUAUUUUGUAUAUAUACUUUUGUACGGAUUACAUUCGUAAUACAACAGCCUGGAAGCCUCGAGCCAGCAAUAGUUUUAUUUUCUUUUAUCUCUGAUCUGACUAAUUGCCAAUUAUUUAGGUAGAUAAUUAUAACUAUAAUAUAAAUUUAGGCAUUACUUCGUCAAAGUCAAUUGAUAAACAAAUUCAGACACAAGAAACAAAACUCUACAGCUAAUUAACAUUUGAAAGAUAUGAAAGAUGCACAUCCAGACUAUACAUACGACUUUCUGCAUAGUUCUUCAUGUAUCUUCAAAUUGAGCUUGGAAAUUUUAUUUACCUGCUUCCAAUUGAGUAUAUGUUUCCCAGCCACAAUUUUAGAGAAUAAAUUUCAGCGACAGAUUGGUUAGCGAAUCAAGGGGUUAAAGAGGGCAACCAACAUCCACGGCCGGCCCUGAUAUUUUGGGGGCCUUAUGUCAAUUUCAAAUUGGGGCCAUAUAUUUUGAAUCUCCUAGUAUAGAGUUUUAGCCCAUGUUUGAUGAAGAUUAAACCCUUGUUUGAACCCAAUUUUUUCAUCAAAAUACAUUCUUUAAUACAUUUCUCAAUAAAAUAAUAUUACAUGUACCUUCAAAAUUUUUCCUUAUUUUUUAACCACAUUCUCCAUCAUAACACUAUCUCAAAAUACAUUUUUUUGAAAAAAAUGGGGCUCAAACAACCCCUAAAAUCAAUUUUUUAGUAGAUUUUGAUAGAAGUGGAUAAAAUAUAUGGAUUUAAAAUUGUGGAACCCAUAAAAUAUAUGGUUAAAAUUAAUUAUUGAUUUUCACUUAGAUUAAAAUCUAGAUUUUAAUCGAUACCAAAUAGUGACUUAAUAUAAUUAUAAAGAAUCUAACACAGACAAAUAAGCCUCAAAAUUUGAAGAGAAAAUUAACAAAAUGUCAAAUUUCAACCAGUAAUACAAAUUACAAGUAAAGUUUGGCAAACAUAAUUACAAUGCAAUGGCAAAGGAGUAUAUUUGUUUGUAUGAUUAUUUUCUCACUACAAAUAUUUCAAAUAAGAUUGAAUAUACAUUUGAGGGAUUUUUGUAUAAAAUUAGAGAAUGUGACUACAAAAGAUAGUGUAACAAAAUAAUGAAAUGAUGAUCAAAUACAAACGAUCUUCUAAUUUUAUAUUAAUUUAUAAGAAAUUAACUUUAAAAUAAGAAGUAUCUAUAUGAAUAAGAACAAAGAAUUAUUAAAUUCAAAUUAUUUUCAGCAAACAUCUAAAAUUAUUAUUAUCAUGAGAUUAAAACAAAACAAUAUAAUAACAAUAUAUGUACUCUGUAGUAUAUGUUUCGAAGAUAAAGAGAAAGAAAGAAACCUGUAAGAUUGUAACAAUGGUAGUUAGAUCAAACCAAACUGCAUUGAAUCUUCUAAAUUUUAAUACAAAGGAAGAUAAUUUAUAUCUUGUUGGCUUGAAAAAAAUAAUGGUGGGUGAUUGUUAGAUAUGGAAUUAGAAGAGACAGAGACCUUUUGUUUGGUUAAGAAAAGAAAAUGAAUGUUUGGAAGAUAAAGUGUCAACUUAAUCAUAAAUAGGGAAAGCAAUAUUUGUGAUAAAUAAAUGUAAGUAAUAAGUUUGUUGCAUAUAUAUAUUUUAAAGAUUUUUAUAUUUUCAAUUUUUAUGACUUUCUUAUGUUUGCAUAUGAUAAUUCUAUUUUACAGAAUUUCAUAAAUAUAAUUUCCACUCUUCUUCAACCAACCAAUUGACUUUAUAUAAUUUGGGACCCUCAUCAAAGUGGGGCUUUAGGCGAUCCCCUACUUCGUCUAUAUUCAGGGCCACCACUGCCAACAUCGAGUAAUGGUUCAACCAACCAGUGUGAGGAAGUUGAUGACUCGAUAAGGAUAGUGUUCCAAAUGUUAAGACUUAAAUACAAGAAAAAUUUACAAUCUUAUGUAAUGGAAGUAGUAUGUACAUCUUUCAUGAGUGUACAUAAAAUAUAUGGUUAAAAUUAAUUAUUGAUUUUCACUUAGAUUAAAAUCUAGAUUUUAAUCGAUACCAAAUAGUGACUUAAUAUAAUUAUAAAGAAUCUAACACAGACAAAUAAGCCUCAAAAUUUGAAGAGAAAAUUAACAAAAUGUCAAAUUUCAACCAGUAAUACAAAUUACAAGUAAAGUUUGGCAAACAUAAUUACAAUGCAAUGGCAAAGGAGUAUAUUUGUUUGUAUGAUUAUUUUCUCACUACAAAUAUUUCAAAUAAGAUUGAAUAUACAUUUGAGGGAUUUUUGUAUAAAAUUAGAGAAUGUGACUACAAAAGAUAGUGUAACAAAAUAAUGAAAUGAUGAUCAAAUACAAACGAUCUUCUAAUUUUAUAUUAAUUUAUAAGAAAUUAACUUUAAAAUAAGAAGUAUCUAUAUGAAUAAGAACAAAGAAUUAUUAAAUUCAAAUUAUUUUCAGCAAACAUCUAAAAUUAUUAUUAUCAUGAGAUUAAAACAAAACAAUAUAAUAACAAUAUAUGUACUCUGUAGUAUAUGUUUCGAAGAUAAAGAGAAAGAAAGAAACCUGUAAGAUUGUAACAAUGGUAGUUAGAUCAAACCAAACUGCAUU